Long non-coding RNA from Leptopilina heterotoma, 580 nucleotides. RefSeq lists it as uncharacterized. The record is from RefSeq and is a predicted model, not a curated record. The transcript is spliced from 3 exons. Lineage: Eukaryota; Metazoa; Arthropoda; Insecta; Hymenoptera; Figitidae.
AAAUAAUAACCGCCAGACGUCCAAACUGUCAAAACAAAACAAACGUUUAUUGCAAAUAUUUUGCAAAUCUUGAAAAUUUAGUGGUUUAUUUAAUAAUAAAUAUCUAUUUUUUACUCAUUGGAAGCUGAAUUUAAUUUAUGAGAAGUGUGGAUUAUAAUGGGACUGGAAAAUCCUCUCGUUGAGAGAUAAUUAUAUGCUGUAAGACUAUAUAACAAAAAUUUGCAAAUUUUGAGAUCCAGCGCCAUCGGGCCUGUUGCCAACAACAUGACUCGCACAAAAUGCAAAACUAUAAUGAAUUAACGUUGGAUCAAUCAUUAUUCCUCGCUCCGCUCUGUCCAGAAGAUCACUGAGAUAACACAAAUGUCGGAAACAUCCACGAACACCGUAUCUAGACGUAAAGAAAAAAUUACAAGUCUCAAACAAAAAAAAAUAACAGCAAAAUUACGAAUGACGCAUAAUUUAUGGAAGGAUUACCAGUAAUUCGGCCUCGGUCUUUUCACUGGCGACCGAUGGAGAGGGACUUGUGGGUCUUUGGGCGGAUUUCACGUAAUUAGCAGCAUCCUGAGCAGCACUCAUUGAA